UUACUAGAGCAAAGGAUAGACAGCGCCCGCGGAGCUCGCUCCCGGGGCUACCCUACUCCCGUAGGGUUUAGAGUCGUCGGGCCUCUCGGAGAAGCUCGGUCCUGAACUCCACCCUUGAAUAAACUACCUUUGUUGCUUUGGCGGGCCGCCUCGUGCCAGCGGCUUCGGCUGUUGAGUGCCCGCCAGAGGACCCCAACUCUUGUUUUUAGUGAUGUCUGAGUACUAUAUAAUAGUUAAAACUUUCAACAACGGAUCUCUUGGUUCUGGCAUCGAUGAAGAACGCAGCGAAAUGCGAUAAGUAAUGUGAAUUGCAGAAUUCAGUGAAUCAUCGAAUCUUUGAACGCACAUUGCGCCCUCUGGUAUUCCGGGGGGCAUGCCUGUUCGAGCGUCAUUAUAACCACUCAAGCUCUCGCUUGGUAUUGGGGUUCGCGGUUUCGCGGCCCCUAAAAUCAGUGGCGGUGCCUGUCGGCUCUACGCGUAGUAAUACUCCUCGCGAUUGAGUCCGGUAGGUCUACUUGCCAGCAACCCCUAAUUUUUUUUAAGGUUGACCUCGGAUCAGGUAGGGAUACCCGCUGAACUUAAGCAUAUCAAUAAGCGGAGGAAAAGAAACCAACAGGGAUUACCUCAGUAACGGCGAGUGAAGCGGUAACAGCUCAAAUUUGAAAGCUGGCUCUUUUAGGGUCCGCGUUGUAAUUUGUAGAAGAUGCUUCGGGUGUGGCCCCGGUCUAAGUUCCUUGGAACAGACGUCAUAGAGGGUGAGAAUCCCGUAUG
RNAcentral lists this ribosomal RNA (771 nucleotides) under fungal sp. RNAcentral describes it as "eukaryotic LSU rRNA". The stretch from base 546 to 771 matches the Rfam family "Eukaryotic large subunit ribosomal RNA", at positions 1 to 227 of the family's 3401-position model. The record is from RNAcentral. Lineage: Eukaryota; Fungi.